UCGGGAAUUUUGGGCAAUGGGCGAAAGCCUGACCCAGCAACGCCGCGUGAAGGAUGAAGUAUUUCGGUAUGUAAACUUCGAAAGAAUAGGAAGAAUAAAUGACGGUACCAUUUAUAAGCUCCGGCUAACUACGUGCCAGCAGCCGCGGUAAUACGUAGGGAGCAAGCGUUGUUCGGAUUUACUGGGCGUAAAGGGCGCGUAGGCGGCGCGGUAAGUCACUUGUGAAAUCUCUGAGCUUAACUCAGAACGGCCAAGUGAUACUGCUGUGCUAGAGUGCGGAAGAGGCAACCGGAAUUCUUGGUGUAGCGGUGAAAUGCGUAGAUAUCAAGAGGAACACCUGAGGCGAAGGCGGGUUGCUGGGCCGACACUGACGCUGAUGCGCGAAAGCCAGGGGAGCAAACG
This 402-nucleotide ribosomal RNA is filed under the name uncultured bacterium. RNAcentral's name for it is "bacterial SSU rRNA". It matches the Rfam family "Bacterial small subunit ribosomal RNA", at positions 355 to 774 of the family's 1533-position model. The record is from RNAcentral.